GUAGAGCAGCAUUCAGCUGCCGGGGCUUGAACUGGUGCCCAUAUGGGAUGCUGGCCCUGUAGAUAGAGGCUUAACCUCUCAUGCCACAGCACCGGCACCUCCUGGAGAACUAAUGGGAUUCUGGAAGCUGCUCCAGGGUGCUUCUGGUUCCUGUGUCAGGGUGGACUAUGGCUUUCAGGGCAGGAGCAGGCAGGAGAAACCCCCUGUGUUCUGCGCGCUCUCUCACUUUGUUUCCAUAGCCAGUAGGGAACAGUAGAGGGAUGCCCUGAGGGAUGGUCUUCUGGGCUCCACCUUGGCUUGUGUCUCACUGCAGCCCACAGGCUGUGCUGCUUCAUUCUUAGCAGCAGUUACUCUGCAAAGACCAAAGGAAACAAAUUUGUCCAUGCAUCUUGUUGGGGAAGUGGUUCCUUCCUGGUUUUACGAAGCAUGGAAGUAUUUCACAGAUCAGCUGAAGAAAGGUGUGGAGCGUGUGUCACCUUCAUAGAAGACCUUUCUUCCUUGGAGCCUCUCAUGUAGCAUGUACCUGCCUUUCUUCUCAUUUGACUGACCACCUACUUUCAAAUCAUUUGAUCCCCAACGUUUGUCUGUAUUCAAAUAAAGUAGACUCACUAUCAAUGUCAAA
Molecule: non-coding RNA, 622 nt
Organism: Oryctolagus cuniculus (rabbit)
Lineage: Eukaryota; Metazoa; Chordata; Mammalia; Lagomorpha; Leporidae
Source: RefSeq, a predicted model, not a curated record